UUCUCCUGGUGACAAGCCUACAGGCACAGCCAGUUGGGACCAAAAGCUCUCACACUCUCCUAAUCAAGGACUUAAAGCCCCGAUUGGAGCUUAUAAAUAUGAAGUAGGGCUUUACAUAUGCAGUCCCACUGGCCCAGCUAGAGACCGGAUUGGUCGGGCAUCAGCCAAUCAGCGCCGGAGAGAACAGAGGCUGCACAGAUUGAGCGGAGCUCGGCAGGUAGAGAAGGGUGGAGGGAACGGAAAACUGAGUACGCCGAUCUAAACGAGGCAACGUUUUAAACGGGGCUUCAAAAGCACGACUCUUAACUCUGAUUAGCUUUAAUGACAAAUGCUUUCUGCUUCGUAAAAGUACACUUGGCAGGAAGAAGUGCAGCCUCAGUUAUGUGUGUGAAGAUUUCAUCAUAAGACACCUUGCAAGCAUCUGUCUUCGCUGAUGGUGUUGCUGCUUAGAAGACCACAGCCGUGGCAUGAUAAUUUAUGCAUUAAUGAGAGGCAGUUGGCCUUUUCUCCUGGGACUGAAAAAAAUGUCACCUCUGCUAGACCCGGGCCUGGAAUUUCAACUGCAUUCUUGAACUUCAGUUUGCCAGCCACUGUUCAAUUAUUUUAAUAAAAGAAGAAAUGAAUGAGGCAAAGUUACCAGA
Long non-coding RNA from Hemicordylus capensis (graceful crag lizard), 641 nucleotides. RefSeq lists it as uncharacterized. Lineage: Eukaryota; Metazoa; Chordata; Lepidosauria; Squamata; Cordylidae. The transcript has 2 exons. The record is from RefSeq and is a predicted model, not a curated record.